This 254-nucleotide ribosomal RNA is filed under the name uncultured bacterium. Its description in RNAcentral is "partial 16S ribosomal RNA". It matches the Rfam family "Bacterial small subunit ribosomal RNA", at positions 524 to 776 of the family's 1533-position model. The record is from RNAcentral.
UACGUAGAGUGCAAGCGUUGUCCGGAAUUAUUGGGCGUAAAGAGCUUGUAGGCGGUUUGUCGCGUCUGCUGUGAAAUUUCGGGGCUCAACCCCGAACUUGCAGUGGGUACGGGCAGACUAGAGUGGUGGUAGGGGAGACUGGAAUUCCUGGUGUAGCGGUGAAAUGCGCAGAUAUCAGGAGGAACACCGAUGGCGAAGGCAGGUCUCUGGGCCACUACUGACGCUGAGAAGCGAAAGCAUGGGGAGCGAACAGG